Equus caballus (horse) is the source of this 1745-nucleotide long non-coding RNA. Lineage: Eukaryota; Metazoa; Chordata; Mammalia; Perissodactyla; Equidae. The record is from Ensembl.
CCAUUUUCUUGGAAGCCCUACUGGAAAGACAGAAAUGUCCUUGGUGAUACUGGUGAAGUGCUGGAUCAGGCCUUACCUGAAGUGAGAUUACUUCUGGACUUUGUCAUUAGGGAAUACAAUAAAUCUUUUUGCAUCAUUUAAGCCAUUAAUUUGUAUCAUUAGUCUUUUUGUAUCAUUUAAGUUGAAUCAGGCUUUCUAUUACUUGGAACCAACAUCCUAACUGAUUCCACGGUUUUAUUCAUUUAUUUGUUGAUUCGUCAGAUAUUGAAUACUUACUCCAUGCCAAGCACUGUUUCAGGUGCUGCUGUUAUAACAGUAAACAAACCCCUCAAAAGCCCUGUCCUCAUGGAGCUUACGUUCUAGUGGGGAAGGUGGGUGAUAAGAAAAUAAAUAUUGAUGAUAAGCUUGAGGGGAGGAGGGCUGGAGAGGGACAGAGCUACCAUUUUAGGUGGAGGAGUCAAAUAAGACAUCUUUGAGAAAGUGUCGAUGGAAGAGGACCUGACACAAAGGGAGGAAGCCAGCUGUGUGUAUAUUUUGGGAAGAAGGACAUUCCAAGUAGAAAAAACAGCGAGUUCAAAGGCCCUGAGGUCAGCUUGGUGUGUUGGAGGAGUGAACUGGGCCGGAGUGAGCAGCUGGGAGGGGUGGAGCCGAGGGCCAGGCACGCAGGGCUGGCUGGGCCGCCAGAGGACUUGCAGUGGCUUCUCAGUGAAAGGACAGGCAGUCGGAGCCUUCUGAACUCCACAGUGCUGCGGUCUCGCGUCGCCAGCUGCUGUGUGGGCUCCAGGCUGGAGCGGGACUCCAGUGUGGAGGCUGCCACACUAGUGCAGCUGAGGGACGGUGGCGGCCUGGCCGCAGUGGCCGCGGUGGAGGUGGGGAGACACGGUCGGAGACUGAAUGUAGUUUGAAGGAAGAGUGGGCAGGAUUGGGGGGCAUAGGCGUGGGGUGCGGAGGGGGAGUCAGCGACCCUUAGGCGUUUAGCCUGCGCCGGGAAGGAAGGAGGCCAGGAGCCGCGGAAGACUAGGGCUGUGGUGUGAGCCUCCCAGUGGCCUCGCUGGGCCCGCAGGGCGGCCUACGACGCUGGCAUUCAGGGCCCAGGUCUGGGCUGGAGAUGCAGAUUGGGAGUCACUUUCAUCUUCGUAGCGUUAAGGCCCAGGAUGAGGUUACUAAGGAGGGGAGUGUAGAUGGAAACGAGGUCAGGGAGUGGGAGCAGGGGCCCGCGAGGCGGUGCUGGAGCGAUCCAGGAGAGAGAUGGCAGUGGCCUGGAGCAGGGCGGGGCAAGAGGGGCAGUCGUCGGGAGAUGCUGCGAGGGCAGGUCCCCAGCAGCCUGAUGGUGGGUGAGGACGGUCGGCUGGACGAGGGCCUCGUGAGAAUGGGACAGCGUUGGGACAUGGGGCAGGGGCUCUGCUUUCCUCCUUCCCUGGGCUCUGUGCUCUCCGCCUCUCGGGGCCUCUGCUGCUUCCUCUGUUUGCAGGCAACUGGCCUGGCCCCGGGUGGACUCCUGCCUCGACUCUGGGUGCCCCUCCAGUGCUGUGCCCCACAGCCCCUCUGUCCCCAUUUGAAAUUCCUCAGACAGGAGUCGCACAGCCGGGGUGCUCAACCUGCUGUAGCUGGAGGAUUCCCGCAGUGACGUCUCAAAUAGUCGCAGUCACAAAGCAUUGCUGACAGGCCAUUUACAUAGCCUCAGAUGCGCCCUGCCUUGGGUGGCUGGGGGCGGGGAGCCCAGGAAGGUGGGCUCCAGCGGCACU